Pseudoliparis swirei is the source of this 239-nucleotide long non-coding RNA. RefSeq lists it as uncharacterized. NCBI's taxonomy places the organism in Eukaryota, Metazoa, Chordata, Actinopteri, Perciformes, Liparidae. The transcript has 3 exons. The record is from RefSeq and is a predicted model, not a curated record.
GUCCGGACGUCUCCACCGGUGUUACGGGUUAAGAAGCGACCGUGUCGGACCGGGAGAAGUUGCGCACCAUGCUGGUCAUCGUGAGGAUGCUCCUGGAGGGCCUGUGGUUGAGACGGUGUUAAUGACCAUCCAGUUCUUCCCGUGUCGCCUCAGUAUCACGAGCCAACAUGCAAUGCUCCUCAUGAGGAGGAACCAUCUGGACUUCAAGCUCCUGGCACUCCGCUGAAGGCACCUCCAGG